GCGCCACCAUCCACUCAUUCACCGCGGUGAUUCCUGCCGACGCACGCUCCGAUGCCGCUCGGGGGCAGAUGUCCUCCGCCAGUAGCACCAAGUCGUCCGCAUACGCGACCAGCUCCACGCCGUCCGGAAGGUCGACAGAGAGGACACCGUCGUACAUGAUGUUCCACAGGGUGGGACCGAGGAUCGAUCCCUGUGGAACUCCUGCGCUAAGGUGCCUCGACGCUGGACCCUCACUCGUGUCGUAGACUAGGCGGCGGUCAGACAUCCAACUCGCCAGCACAGGGAUGACUGGCUUGUGGCCGCCAAGCGUUCAUAGCGACGUGGCUUUUUGAUCCUUCGAUGUCGGCUCUUCCUAUCAUUGCGAAGCAAAAUUCACAAAGCGUAGGAUUGUUCACCCUUUCAAGGGAACGUGAGCUGGGUUUAGACCGUCGUGAGGCAGUGUAGCAUACGCUACGCACAAACUUAACCCGUCACACAAUGUUGUUUCAGUUAUACUUAAUUCAGCUUAACUUAACUCAACCAAACUUCAACUUAACGUUAAGACCCAGCCACGCGUUAUCAUAACAAAAACACAACCCAACGCAAGAACGCAAGUUAUGAACGCUGUGCGCGAAAUGCGAAGUCAACAAACAAUAACGUAGACUUGAGUCAUGCGACACCUAAGCGGAAGAACCUCACCACCGGAACCAAGCGCAUGACUAAGUGGCCCACAUUAAUAUAGCAAUUAAAUCACCGGAACACCAAUACCGAACUAACCAAUCACAAGUCAACAUGAUGUCAACUAACCUAAUUUUACCAACCAAGUUGUUAGUAUAAAAUAAAGAUGACGACGAACGAAAGGAGUUCAGCUCGCGCAGUCCAGUUCAGCUCGCUCAGUUGAACUCAGCUCACGCAGUUCAGUUGAGUCGUUGAGUAAAAUACAAGAUGUAAAGUGUUAUUUUGUUUCCGCUGAAUCCUCCGGCAACGCUCCCGGGCACAGGAGUACCACAUGGCGACCGUGCUAAAAGAAAGAUCCACCGGAACAGGUUAGUUUUACACUACUGGUGCGCAAGUGGUGGUGCUAUCUUAAUGGAAUUCCUGUGCAGUACGAGAGGAACCAAUGGCUCAAUACUAGUCCGAGCGGACUUUGGUAUGACGCUACGUCCGUCGGAUUAUGCCUGAACCCCUCUUAGGUCGUAACCAAACCAAGCUGGUAGCAAAUAGAUAGGUGUUGGUAAAUAGUUGGCUUAUAACCCCAUGAGUUACGGUAGUAGUACAAUCGUCUCUAUGCUAUUAUUGGAAUACCCUCAAACUGAGCCUUGAAGUGAGUUCACCUACCGUGGAACCUGAAAGGGGAAGCGAGGGGUGAAAGCGCUGACCUUCCAAAAGUAUUUUCAACACCUAAGACCAUCCGAAAACGACGGAACUACAGGCUGGGAGCUAUGCAUUGAAGAGAGAUGUACAUUUCGAUCCUUUCAGGCUACCCUUGCUUGGCGGUUGAG
Molecule: non-coding RNA, 1481 nt
Filed under: Anopheles sinensis
Lineage: Eukaryota; Metazoa; Arthropoda; Insecta; Diptera; Culicidae
Description: Eukaryotic large subunit ribosomal RNA
Rfam family: Eukaryotic large subunit ribosomal RNA
Source: Rfam by way of RNAcentral